CCUACGGGAGGCAGCAGUGGGGAAUAUUGGACAAUGGGGGGAACCCUGAUCCAGCGACGCCGCGUGAGUGAAGAAGUAUUUCGGUAUGUAAAGCUCUAUCAGCAGGGAAGUAAGAAAUGACGGUACCUGACUAAGAAGCCCCGGCUAACCACGUGCCAGCAGCCGCGGUAAUACGGAGGAUGCGAGCGUUAUCCGGAUUUAUGGGGUUUAAGGGGUGCGUAGGCGGAUCGUAAAGUCAGUGGUCAAAUUGAGGGGUUCAACCCCUUCCAGCCAUUGAAACUGGCGUUCUUGAGUGGAAGAGAAGUAUGCGGAAUGCGUGGUGUAGCGGUGAAAUGCAUAGAUAUCACGCAGAACCCCGAUUGCGAAGGCAGCAUGCCGGCUUCCGACUGACGCUGAAGCACGAAAGCGUGGGGAUCGAACAGGAUUGGAUACCCCAGUAGUC
Molecule: ribosomal RNA, 442 nt
Filed under: uncultured bacterium
Lineage: Bacteria
Description: partial 16S ribosomal RNA
Rfam family: Bacterial small subunit ribosomal RNA
Source: RNAcentral